This 1372-nucleotide ribosomal RNA is filed under the name uncultured bacterium. RNAcentral describes it as "bacterial SSU rRNA". It matches the Rfam family "Bacterial small subunit ribosomal RNA", at positions 28 to 1381 of the family's 1533-position model. The record is from RNAcentral.
GAUGAACGCUGGCGGCGUGCCUAAUACAUGCAAGUCGAGCGAACGGACGAGAAGCUUGCUUCUCUGAUGUUAGCGGCGGACGGGUGAGUAACACGUGGAUAACCUACCUAUAAGACUGGGAUAACUUCGGGAGACCGGAGCUAAUACCGGAUAAUAUUUUGAACCGCAUGGUUCAAAAGUGAAAGACGGUCUUGCUGUCACUUAUAGAUGGAUCCGCGCUGCAUUAGCUAGUUGGUAAGGUAACGGCUUACCAAGGCAACGAUGCAUAGCCGACCUGAGAGGGUGAUCGGCCACACUGGAACUGAGACACGGUCCAGACUCCUACGGGAGGCAGCAGUAGGGAAUCUUCCGCAAUGGGCGAAAGCCUGACGGAGCAACGCCGCGUGGGUGAUGAAGGUCUUCGGAUCGUAAAACUCUGUUAUUAGGGAAGAACAUAUGUGUAAGUAACUGUGCACAUCUUGACGGUACCUAAUCAGAAAGCCACGGCUAACUACGUGCCAGCAGCCGCGGUAAUACGUAGGUGGCAAGCGUUAUCCGGAAUUAUUGGGCGUAAAGCGCGCGUAGGCGGUUUUUUAAGUCUGAUGUGAAAGCCCACGGCUCAACCGUGGAGGGUCAUUGGAAACUGGAAAACUUGAGUGCAGAAGAGGAAAGUGGAAUUCCAUGUGUAGCGGUGAAAUGCGCAGAGAUAUGGAGGAACACCAGUGGCGAAGGCGACUUUCUGGUCUGUAACUGACGCUGAUGUGCGAAAGCGUGGGGAUCAAACAGGAUUAGAUACCCUGGUAGUCCACGCCAUAAACGAUGAGUGCUAAGUGUUAGGGGGUUUCCGCCCCUUAGUGCUGCAGCUAACGCAUUAAGCACUCCGCCUGGGGAGUACGACCGCAAGGUUGAAACUCAAAGGAAUUGACGGGGACCCGCACAAGCGGUGGAGCAUGUGGUUUAAUUCGAAGCAACGCGAAGAACCUUACCAAAUCUUGACAUCCUUUGACAACUCUAGAGAUAGAGCUUUCCCCUUCGGGGGACAAAGUGACAGGUGGUGCAUGGUUGUCGUCAGCUCGUGUCGUGAGAUGUUGGGUUAAGUCCCGCAACGAGCGCAACCCUUAAGCUUAGUUGCCAUCAUUAAGUUGGGCACUCUAAGUUGACUGCCGGUGACAAACCGGAGGAAGGUGGGGAUGACGUCAAAUCAUCAUGCCCCUUAUGAUUUGGGCUACACACGUGCUACAAUGGACAAUACAAAGGGCAGCGAAACCGCGAGGUCAAGCAAAUCCCAUAAAGUUGUUCUCAGUUCGGAUUGUAGUCUGCAACUCGACUACAUGAAGCUGGAAUCGCUAGUAAUCGUAGAUCAGCAUGCUACGGUGAAUACGUUCCCGGGUCU